This 554-nucleotide ribosomal RNA is filed under the name Moelleriella turbinata. RNAcentral's name for it is "SSU rRNA". It matches the Rfam family "Eukaryotic small subunit ribosomal RNA", at positions 854 to 1433 of the family's 1831-position model. Lineage: Eukaryota; Fungi; Ascomycota; Sordariomycetes; Hypocreales; Clavicipitaceae. The record is from RNAcentral.
GGCCCGCCGUAAUGAUUAAUAGGGACAGUCGGGGGCACCAGUAUUCAGUAGUCAGAGGUGAAAUUCUUGGAUCUACUGAAGACUAACUACUGCGAAAGCAUCUGCCAAGGAUGUUUUCAUUAAUCAGGAACGAAAGUUAGGGGAUCGAAGACGAUCAGAUACCGUCGUAGUCUUAACCAUAAACUAUGCCGACUAGGGAUCGGACGAUGUUUUCAAUUGACUCGUUCGGCACCUUACGAGAAAUCAAAGUGCUUGGGCUCCAGGGGGAGUAUGGUCGCAAGGCUGAAACUUAAAGAAAUUGACGGAAGGGCACCACCAGGGGUGGACUGCGGCUUAAUUUGACUCAACACGGGGAAACUCACCAGGUCCAGACACAAUGAGGAUUGACAGAUUGAGAGCUCUUUCUUGAUUUUGUGGGUGGUGGUGCAUGGCCGUUCUUAGUUGGUGGAGUGAUUUGUCUGCUUAAUUGCGAUAACGAACGAGACCUUAACCUGCUAAAUAGCCAGUCUGCUCAGGCAGCACGCCGGCUUCUUAGAGGGACUUCGGCUCAAGCG